CCUACGGGAGGCAGCAGUGGGGAAUAUUGCACAAUGGGGGAAACCCUGAUGCAGCGACGCCGCGUGGAGGAAGAAGGUCUUCGGAUUGUAAACUCCUGUCGUUGGGGACGAUAAUGACGGUACCCAACAAGAAAGCCACGGCUAACUACGUGCCAGCAGC
This 160-nucleotide ribosomal RNA is filed under the name uncultured bacterium. Its description in RNAcentral is "partial 16S ribosomal RNA". It matches the Rfam family "Bacterial small subunit ribosomal RNA", at positions 338 to 515 of the family's 1533-position model. The record is from RNAcentral.